UACUGGAAACGGUAGCUAAUACCGCAUAACGUCGCAAGACCAAAGUGGGGGACCUUCGGGCCUCACACCAUCGGAUGAACCCAGAUGGGAUUAGCUAGUAGGUGGGGUAAUGGCUCACCUAGGCGACGAUCCCUAGCUGGUCUGAGAGGAUGACCAGCCACACUGGAACUGAGACACGGUCCAGACUCCUACGGGAGGCAGCAGUGGGGAAUAUUGCACAAUGGGGGAAACCCUGAUGCAGCCAUGCCGCGUGUGUGAAGAAGGCCUUCGGGUUGUAAAGCACUUUCAGCGGGGAGGAAGGCGGUGGCGUUAAUAGCGCUAUCGAUUGACGUUACCCGCAGAAGAAGCACCGGCUAACUCCGUGCCAGCAGCCGCGGUAAUACGGAGGGUGCGAGCGUUAAUCGGAAUUACUGGGCGUAAAGCGUACGCAGGCGGUCUGUUAAGUCAGAUGUGAAAUCCCCGGGCUUAACCUGGGAACUGCAUUUGAAACUGGCAGGCUAGAGUCUCGUAGAGGGGGGUAGAAUUCCAGGUGUAGCGGUGAAAUGCGUAGAGAUCUGGAGGAAUACCGGUGGCGAAGGCGGCCCCCUGGACGAAGACUGACGCUCAGGUACGAAAGCGUGGGGAGCAAACAGGAUUAGAUACCCUGGUAGUCCACGCUGUAAACGAUGUCGAUUUGAAGGUUGUGGCCUUGAGCCGUGGCUUUCGGAGCUAACGCGUUAAAUCGACCGCCUGGGGAGUACGGCCGCAAGGUUAAAACUCAAAUGAAUUGACGGGGGCCCGCACAAGCGGUGGAGCAUGUGGUUUAAUUCGAUGCAACGCGAAGAACCUUACCUACUCUUGACAUCCAGAGAACUUAGCAGAGAUGCUUUGGUGCCUUCGGGAACUCUGAGACAGGUGCUGCAUGGCUGUCGUCAGCUCGUGUUGUGAAAUGUUGGGUUAAGUCCCGCAACGAGCGCAACCCUUAUCCUUUGUUGCCAGCGAUUCGGUCGGGAACUCAAAGGAGACUGCCGGUGAUAAACCGGAGGAAGGUGGGGAUGACGUCAAGUCAUCAUGGCCCUUACGAGUAGGGCUACACACGUGCUACAAUGGCGCAUACAAAGAGAAGCGAUCUCGCGAGAGUCAGCGGACCUCAUAAAGUGCGUCGUAGUCCGGAUUGGAGUCUGCAACUCGACUCCAUGAAGUCGGAAUCGCUAGUAAUCGUGGAUCAGAAU
Molecule: ribosomal RNA, 1211 nt
Filed under: uncultured bacterium
Lineage: Bacteria
Description: bacterial SSU rRNA
Rfam family: Bacterial small subunit ribosomal RNA
Source: RNAcentral